UUUGUGCUCUAAAGGUGAGCCUACGUCGGAUUAGCUAGUUGGUAGGGUAAAAGCCUACCAAGGCGAUGAUCUGUAGCUGGUCUGAGAGGACGGACAGCCACACUGGGACUGAGACACGGCCCAGACUCCUACGGGAGGUCAGCAGUGGGGAAUAUUGGACAAUGGGGGGAACCCUGAUCCAGCGAUGCCGCGUGUGUGAAGAAGGCCUGCGGGUUGUAAAGCACUUUCAGUGGGAAAGAGAAGCGUCUUGUGAAUAAUGGGACGUGGAGACGUUACUCACAGAAGAAGCACCGGCUAACUCUGUGC
This 306-nucleotide ribosomal RNA is filed under the name uncultured bacterium. RNAcentral describes it as "bacterial SSU rRNA". It matches the Rfam family "Bacterial small subunit ribosomal RNA", at positions 210 to 508 of the family's 1533-position model. The record is from RNAcentral.